This 406-nucleotide ribosomal RNA is filed under the name uncultured bacterium. Its description in RNAcentral is "partial 16S ribosomal RNA". It matches the Rfam family "Bacterial small subunit ribosomal RNA", at positions 30 to 526 of the family's 1533-position model. The record is from RNAcentral.
AUUGAACGCUGGCGGCAGGACUAACACAUGCAAGUCGAGCGAGCGGCUGACGGGUUAGUAAUGUCUGGGAAAAUGCCUGAUGGAGGGGGAUAACUACUGGAAACGGUAGCUAAUACCGCAUACCAUCAGAUGUGCCCAGAUGGGAUUAGCUAGUAGGUGGGGUAACGGCUCACCUAGGCGACGAUCCCUAUCUGGUCUGAGAGGAUGACCAGCCACACGGGCACUGAGACACGGUCCAUACUCCUACGGGAGGCAGCAGUGGGGAAUAUUGCACAAUGGGCGCAAGCCUGAUGCAGCCAUGCCGCGUUUGUGAAGAAGGCCUUCGGGUUGUAAAGCACUUUCAGCGGGGAGGCGUUACCCGCAGAAGAAGCACCGGCUAACUCCGUGCCAGCAGCCGCGGUAAUUC